This 253-nucleotide ribosomal RNA is filed under the name uncultured bacterium. RNAcentral describes it as "partial 16S ribosomal RNA". It matches the Rfam family "Bacterial small subunit ribosomal RNA", at positions 524 to 776 of the family's 1533-position model. The record is from RNAcentral.
UACGGAGGGUGCAAGCGUUGUCCGGAUUUAUUGGGUUUAAAGGGUGCGUAGGCGGCCCGGUAAGUCAGUGGUGAAAGCCUCCAGCUCAACUGGAGAACUGCCAUUGAUACUGCCGGGCUUGAGUACAGACGAGGUUGGCGGAAUUGAUUGUUUAGCGGUGAAAUGCAUAGAUACAAUCAAGAACUCCGAUUGCGUAGGCAGCUAACUAGGCUGUAACUGACGCUGAGGCACGAAAGCGUGGGGAGCAAACAGG